CCUACGGGAGGCUGCAGUGGGGAAUAUUGGACAAUGGGGGGAACCCUGAUCCAGCCAUGCCGCGUGUGUGAAGAAGGCCCUCGGGUUGUAAAGCACUUUCAGUGAGGAAGAACGCCUGGUGGUUAAUACCCAUCAGGAAAGACAUCACUCACAGAAGAAGCACCGACUAACUCCGUGCCAGCAGCCGCGGUAAUACGGAGGGUGCGAGCGUUAAUCGGAAUUACUGGGCGUAAAGCGCGCGUAGGUGGCUUGAUAAGCCGGUUGUGAAAGCCCCGGGCUCAACCUGGGAACGGCAUCCGGAACUGUCAAGCUAGAGUGCAGGAGAGGAAGGUAGAAUUCCCGGUGUAGCGGUGAAAUGCGUAGAGAUCGGGAGGAAUACCAGUGGCGAAGGCGGCCUUCUGGACUGACACUGACACUGAGGUGCGAAAGCGUGGGUAGCAAACAGGAUUAGAUACCCCUGUAGUC
This 465-nucleotide ribosomal RNA is filed under the name Vreelandella stevensii. Its description in RNAcentral is "partial 16S ribosomal RNA". It matches the Rfam family "Bacterial small subunit ribosomal RNA", at positions 338 to 795 of the family's 1533-position model. Lineage: Bacteria; Pseudomonadati; Pseudomonadota; Gammaproteobacteria; Oceanospirillales; Halomonadaceae. The record is from RNAcentral.